UCGAGAAUUUUUCACAAUGGGCGCAAGCCUGAUGGAGCGACGCCGCGUGGGGGAUGAAUGGCUUCGGCCCGUAAACCCCUGUCAUUUGCGAACAAACGUUAUUAUUUAAAAGAUGAUGACCUGAUUGUAGCGAAAGAGGAAGGGACGGCUAACUCUGUGCCAGCAGCCGCGGUAAUACAGAGGUCCCAAGCGUUGUUCGGAUUCACUGGGCGUAAAGGGUGCGUAGGUGGCGGGGUAAGUCGGAUGUGAAAUCUCCGAGCUCAACUCGGAAAUGGCAUUGGAAACUACCCUGCUCGAGGGUUGGAGGGGGGACUGGAAUACUUGGUGUAGCAGUGAAAUGCGUAGAUAUCAAGUGGAACACCAGUGGCGAAGGCGAGUCCCUGGACAACUCCUGACACUGAGGCACGAAAGCUAGGGGAGCAAACAGGAUUAGAUACCCCUGUAGUCC
Molecule: ribosomal RNA, 448 nt
Filed under: uncultured bacterium
Lineage: Bacteria
Description: bacterial SSU rRNA
Rfam family: Bacterial small subunit ribosomal RNA
Source: RNAcentral